Salmo salar (Atlantic salmon) is the source of this 54-nucleotide non-coding RNA. Lineage: Eukaryota; Metazoa; Chordata; Actinopteri; Salmoniformes; Salmonidae. The record is from Rfam.
UGUAUGCACUCAUGUAUGUCGCUCUGGAUAAGAGCAUCUGCUAAAUGACUAAAA